GGUGAGGAGGGAUUUGCUACUAAGGUGAGUUUUGAAAAUUCUUGAUUUGUUAUUAGAAUAUAUAAUUUACGUAGCAGUAGCCUGUAAAAA
This is a long non-coding RNA of Cydia amplana, 90 nucleotides long. RefSeq lists it as uncharacterized. The record is from RefSeq and is a predicted model, not a curated record. The transcript is spliced from 2 exons. Lineage: Eukaryota; Metazoa; Arthropoda; Insecta; Lepidoptera; Tortricidae.